This 490-nucleotide ribosomal RNA is filed under the name uncultured bacterium. RNAcentral describes it as "partial 16S ribosomal RNA". It matches the Rfam family "Bacterial small subunit ribosomal RNA", at positions 29 to 507 of the family's 1533-position model. The record is from RNAcentral.
AGUGAACGCUGGCGGCAGGCCUAACACAUGCAAGUCGAACGGCAGCACAAGAGAGCUUGCUCUCUGGGUGGCGAGUGGCGGACGGGUGAGGAAUGCAUCGGAAUCUGCCCAUUUGUGGGGAUUAACCUGGGGAAACGGGACCUAAUACGCCAUCCGCCCUACGGUUAAAGCCAGGGGAUCUUCGGCCUUGCCGCAGAUGAUUGAGCCGAGCCGGGAUUAGCUAGUUGGAGGGGUAAAGGCCAACCAAGGCGACGAUCCGUAGCUGGUCUGAGAGGAUGAUCAGCCACACUGGGACUGAGACACGGCCCAGACUCCUACGGGAGGCAGCAGUGGGGAAUAUUGGACAAUGGGCGCAAGCCUGAUCCAGCCAUGCCGCGUGUGUGAAGAAGGCCUUCGGGUUGUAAAGCACUUUUGUUGGGAAAGAAAAGCAGCCGGUUAAUACCCGGUUGUCAUGACGGUACCCAAAGAAUAAGCACCGGCUAACUUCGUG